RNAcentral lists this ribosomal RNA (200 nucleotides) under uncultured bacterium. RNAcentral describes it as "partial 16S ribosomal RNA". It matches the Rfam family "Bacterial small subunit ribosomal RNA", at positions 29 to 256 of the family's 1533-position model. The record is from RNAcentral.
AACGAACGCUGGCGGCAUGCCUAACACAUGCAAGUCGAACGAACUCUUCGGAGUUAGUGGCGCACGGGUGCGUAACGCGUGGGAAUCUGCCCUUGGGUACGGAAUAACUCAGAGAAAUUUGUGCUAAUACCGUAUAAUGACUUCGGUCCAAAGAUUUAUCGCCCAAGGAUGAGCCCGCGUAAGAUUAGCUAGUUGGUGGG